Molecule: ribosomal RNA, 649 nt
Filed under: uncultured bacterium
Lineage: Bacteria
Description: bacterial SSU rRNA
Rfam family: Bacterial small subunit ribosomal RNA
Source: RNAcentral
CAGGCCUAACACAUGCAAGUCGAACGAACUCUUCGGAGUUAGUGGCGGACGGGUGAGUAACACGUGGGAACGUGCCUUUAGGUUCGGAAUAACUCAGGGAAACUUGUGCUAAUACCGAAUGUGCCCUUCGGGGGAAAGAUUUAUCGCCUUUAGAGCGGCCCGCGUCUGAUUAGCUAGUUGGUGAGGUAAAGGCUCACCAAGGCGACGAUCAGUAGCUGGUCUGAGAGGAUGAUCAGCCACAUUGGGACUGAGACACGGCCCAAACUCCUACGGGAGGCAGCAGUGGGGAAUCUUGCGCAAUGGGCGAAAGCCUGACGCAGCCAUGCCGCGUGAAUGAUGAAGGUCUUAGGAUUGUAAAAUUCUUUCGCCGGGGACGAUAAUGACGGUACCCGGAGAAGAAGCCCCGGCUAACUUCGUGCCAGCAGCCGCGGUAAUACGAAGGGGGCUAGCGUUGCUCGGAAUUACUGGGCGUAAAGGGAGCGUAGGCGGACAUUUAAGUCAGGGGUGAAAUCCCGGGGCUCAACCUCGGAAUUGCCUUUGAUACUGGGUGUCUUGAGUAUGAGAGAGGUGUGUGGAACUCCGAGUGUAGAGGUGAAAUUCGUAGAUAUUCGGAAGAACACCAGUGGCGAAGGCGACACACUGGCUCAUU